CUCCUUCAAAAAUGCCUUUGCCUUGCGAGUCGGCAUCCAGACACCUCGAAUCUAGCCACAAGCAGUACAAUACAAUCAAUAUAGGCUUAAGGAAUCAAUUCCACAAGAAAAAUGCAAAAUUAUAGCUCAAAACCCGAAAUUGGCUCAAACUGCGGGCCCACGUCUUGAAAUCCGACAAAAGUCACAAAACCCGAAAGCCCAUUCACUCACGAGUCUAGCCAUACCAAAAUUUUCAAAAUCCGAUGCCAAAUGGCCAUUUAAAUACCCAAAUAUCACUCUCUAAAAUCCGUAGCCCUAAACCCCCAAAUUUCAACUCAAAAACUCACCAACUAGGUGUAAAAUCAGUGGGGAAACAUCGUUAUUGAAGAAGAAUGAACACAAAGAUCUUGCCUCAGUAAUCUCUUUGAAAACCCUCUCAAAAAUCUCCAUAGUCUGAGCUCAAAGUGAUGAAAGUGGUAAAAAAUCUCGAAGUCUUGCAUUUAUAUGUUCUGCCCAGGCCUUUCGUACCUGCGGCCAUUUAUCCGCACCUGCGGAACCGCUUCUACGGUAAAAUUUCCGCUUCUGCGGAAGUCACUUAUCCAGCUGCCUCUGCUUCUGCGAGAAUUGCCUCCGCUUCUACGGGUAAUCUAUUGCACCUGUAGAUCCAACCUGCAUCUGCGCACCUCAGCCCGCUUCUGCGAUUAUCAUAGGUGCGGGAUAGUCUUCGCACCUUCUACCACUGCUCAACUUUUUCCCUAUUCUCUUCUGCGAUUCACGCCUUGCUUCUGCGGGCUCGCACCUGCGGUGCCCACUCCACAGGUGCGGUUACACCACUAGUAGCAUCACUUCAGCUGCUUCACUAAUUCAAAACAAAGUCCGUUAACCACUCGAAAUCAACCUGAGGCCCCCGGGACCUCAACAAAACAUACCAACAAGUCCUAAAUCACGAUUCGAACUUAGUCGAACCCUCAAAUAACCUCAAACAACAUCAAAAACACGAAUUACUCACGAAUUCAAGCCUAAUGAACUUUGAAAUUUUCCAAAUUCUACAAACCACGCUGAAACCUAUCAAAUCACGUCCGAUUGAACUCAAAUUUUGCACACAAGUCAUAAAUGACACCACGAACCUACUCCAACUUCCGGAAAGCCAAUCCCACCCUGGUGCCAAAAAGUCCGCUCCCGGUCAAACUUUCCAAAACUCCAACUUUUGCCAAUUCAAGCCUAAUUCUACUAUAAACCUCCAAAUCACAACCCGGACAUGCUCCUAAGUCCAAAAUCACCUAACGGAGAUAACAGAACCAUCAAAAUUCGAAUCCGAGGUCAUUUACACAUAAGUCAACAUCCAAUCGACUUUUCCAACUUAAGCUUUCAGUUAAAAGACUAAGUGUCUCAAUUCACUCCGACAUCACUCCAGACCCGAACCAAAUAACCUGAUAAGUCGUAUAACAGCUGAAGAAAACAAAAGAAGCAAAAAAUGGGAGAACAUGGCUACAACUCUCAAAACGCCCGGCCGGGUCGUUACAUCCUCCCCCUCUUAAAUAAACUUUUGUCCUCGAACGGGUCUAGAAACAUACCCGGAGUCUCAAAUAAGUGUGGAUAUUUGCGCAUCUCCCGCUCGGUCUCCCAAGUAGCCUCCUCCAUGGGCUAAACUCUCCAUUUCACCAUCACUGAAGCUAUAUCUUUUGAUCUCAACUUUCGAACCUGCCGAUCCAAAAUGGCCACCGGCUCCAAAUCUCCGAAGCACCUCAAACGGCUCAAUAAAUCGAGGGCUCAACUUGCCUUUCUUCCCAAAUCUCAAAACACCCUUUAUGGGUGAAACCUUCAGUAGAACCUUCUCCAUAACCAUGUAAGACACAUCACGAACCUUCCUGUCAGCAUAACUCUUUUGUCUAGACUGCAUCAUGUGAAGCCUCUCCUGAAUCAAUUUCACCUUGUCUAAUUCAUCUUGAACCAAGUUUGUACCCAGAAGCCUGGCCUCACCUGGCUCAAACCAACCCACCAGAAAUCUACACCGCCUCCCAUAUAAAGCCUCAUAUGGAGCCAUCUGGAUGCUCGACUGAUAACUAUUAUUGUAAGCAAACUCCGCGAGCGGCAAAAACUGGUCCCAUGAACCCCCAAAAUCAAUGACACAAGCGCGUAACAUGUCCUCCAAUAUAUGAAUAGUGUGCUCGGACUGUCCAUUCGUCUGAGGGUGAAAUGCUAUACUUAACUCAACUUGAGUGCCCAACUCUCGCUGCACGACUCUCCAAAACUGCAAUGUAAACUGCGUGCCUCUAUCUGAAAUGAUGGAAACUGGCACACCAUGAUGACGAAUAAUCUCUCUGAUGUAAAUCUCAACCAACCGCUCUAAAGAAUAAGUAUUACCAACUGGAAUGAAGUGCUCGAACUUGGUCAGCCGAUCCACAAUCACCCAAAUAGCAUCGAACUUCCUCAAAGUCCGUGGAAGCCCUACUACGAAAUCCAUGGUGAUCCGCUCCCACUUCCAUUCUAGAAUCUCCAUCCUCUGAAGCAACCCACCCGAUCUCUAAUGAUCAUAUUUUAACUACUGGCAGUUGAGACACCAAGCUACAAACCCAACUAUAUCCUUCUUCAUUCUCCUCCACUAAUAUUGCUGCCUCAAAUCCUGAUACAUCUUUGCGCACACGGAUGAAUAGAAUACCGCGAGUUGUGGGCCUCCUCAAGAAUCAACUCCCGUAGCCCAUCAACAUUGGGCACACAUAUCUGGCCCUGCAUCCUCAACACGCCAUCAUCUCCAAUAGUCACAUCUCUAGCAUCACCUCUCUGAACCAUGUUCUUGAGAAGAAGCAAGUGAGGAUCGUCAUACUGUCACUCUCUGAUGUGAUCAAACAUAGAAGACCGAGAUACCACACAGGCUAGAACCCGACUUGGAUUCAAAAUAUCCAAUCUCACAAACUGGUUGGCCAAAGCCUGAACAUCAACUGCAAGAGGUCUCUCACCAACAGGAAUGAAUGCAAGACUACACAUACUCACUGCCUUCCUACUCAAGGCAUCGGCUACCACAUUGGCCUUUCCUGGAUGAUACAAAAUAGUGAUAUCAUAGUCCUUUAGAAGCUCCAACCAUCUAUGUUGCCUCAAAUUGGGAUCCUUAUAUUUGAACAAGUGCUGGAGGCUACAAUAAUCAGUAAAUACCUCACAAGACAAACCAUAGAGAUAGUGCCACCAAGUCUUCAAUGCAUGAAAAAUGGCAGCCAACUCCAAAUCAUGAACAAGGUUGUUCUUCUUAUGCGGCUUCAACUGGCACGAAGCAUAAGCAAUCAGUCUACCCUCCUGCAUUAAAACACACCCAAUACCAAUCCGAGAAGCAUCAUAAUAUAGUGCAUAAGAACCAGAAGCAGAUGGUAGAACUAGAACUGGAGCUGUGGCCAAGGAAGUCUUGAGCUUUUAAAAGCUCGCCUCACACUCAUCCGAACACAUGAAAGGAGCACCAUUUUGGGUAAAUUUGGUCAAGGGUGAUGCAAUAGAUGAGAAACCCUGCAUGAAGCGACGGUAAUAACCAGCCAAUCCGAGAAUGCUUCGAAUCUCUGUAGCUGAGGACGGCCUGGGCCAAUUCUGAACCGCCUCUAUAUUCUUUGGAUCUACUUGAAUACCCUCAUUGGAGACCACGUGCCCCAAGAAUGCCACUGAACUGUGCCAAAACUCACAUUUUGAGAACUUGGCAUAGAGCUUCUCCUCUCUCAACCGCUACAACACAACCCUCAAGUGCUAGGCGUGCUCUUCCUAGCUAUGAGAGUAUACCAGGAUAUCAUCAAUGAAUACAAUAACAAACGAGUCGAGAUAAGACCGAUACACACUGUUCAUCAAAUGCAUUAAUGCUGCUGGGGCAUUGGUCAGCCCAAAAGACAUCACAAGGAACUAAUAAUGACCAUAACGGAUCUUGAAAGCUGUCUUAAGAAUAUCCAAGUCCCGAAUAUUCAAUUGGUGAUACCCUGACCUCAAAUAAAUCUUAGAUAAUACCCUCGCUCCCUGAAGCUAGUCAAAUAGAUCAUCAAUACGUGGCAAAUGUACUUGUUCUUGAUUGUGACUUUGUUCAACUACCUGUAGUCAAUACACAUUCUCAUAGUGCCAUCCUUCUUCUUCACAAAUAGAACCAGUACACCCCAAUGUGACACACUAGGCCUAAUAAACCCUUUCUCAAGGAGUUCUUGAAGUUGAUCCUUCAACUCAGUCGGUGCCAUACGGUAUGGAGGAAUAGAAAUGGGCUAAGUGCCCAGCACCAAGUCAAUACCAAAAUUAAUAUCUCUGUCGGGCAGUAUACCAGACAGAUCUGCAGGAAACACAUCUGGAAAAUCUCGCACCACCGGAACAGAAUCAAUAGUAGGGGUCUCUACACUGACAUCCCUCACAAAGGCUAAAUAAGAAAGGCAACCCUUCCCAACCAUCCGCUGGGCCUUCAAGUAUGAAAUCACUUUACUAGGAACAUAGUCUAAAGAACCAUGCCACUCAAUCCGUGGCAAUCCCGGCAUCGCCAACGUCAUUGUCUUAGCAUGAAAAUUCAAAAUAGCAUGACAUAGAGACAACCAAUCCAUACCCAAUAUCACAUCAAAAUCAACCAUGUUAAGUAGCAAAAGAUCAACUCUAGUCUCCAAUCCCCAAAUACAUUACACACGACCGAUAUACACGGUCUACAAUAAUAGUAUCACCCAUCGGCGUAGAUACAUGGACAGAUAAAACUAAUGACUCAUGAGGGAUAUCCAGAUAAUGAGCAAAAUACGAUGAUACAUAUGAAUAUGUGGAACUAGGGUCAAAUAAUACAGAAGCAUCUCAAUGACAUACGGAGACAAUACCUGUGAUCACUGUGUCUGAAGCAAUAGUAUUUGGUCUAGCAGGGACUGCAUAGAAAUGGGCUUGAUCACCACCUGAUCAGCCUCCCCCUCUAGGGCGACCUUUAGCUGACUGGGCCCUACCCUGAGCUGGUUGGGCGGGUAGAGAAGUAACUGGUGUGGAAGAUGCAGCCUGACUCCUCUACUGCGCUGAACCUCCAUGACGACGAGGGCACUGCCACCAUACAUGCCUAAACUCCCCAUACUCAAAACAACUCCCUGGUGCUGGUGACGGGGACUAAAGGGAGCCCCGAGCACCGAGAUAACUAAUAGAAGGACCUGACAUAGAUGAGCCCUGAACCGAUGGAGAACGGGAUGAACUCUAAGCUGGAAGGGCACUAAGAGAUGAAUGACCUUGAUGAGAACUAUAUGAACCAUGGCCAGAUGAUGCACCACGGUGAACUGGGCGAGCCGUCUAAGCAUGCUUAUAGGGACGAUCCCUACCGUGGUGGAACUAAGCUCCAGAAGGAACACCACCAAAACUACAUGAUCCACGAGACCUCUUGGCCUCCCUAUCAACCCGCUCCUGGCUAUGGACCAACUCUAUCUACCGAGCAAUGUCAAUAACCUCAUCAAAAGUAGCACCAGACACCUUCUCUCUAGUCAUAAGCACCCGCAGCUGAAAUGUGAGGCCAUAAAUGAACCUCCUGAUCCUCUCCAUAUCAGUGGGAACUAACUAGACUGCAUGACGGGCCAACUCAGAAAAUCUCAUCUCGUACUGCAUCACAAACAUAUCAUCCUGAAACAACUGCUCAAACUGCAUGUGCAUCUUCUCUCUGCGAGACUGCGGCACGAACUUCUCCAAGAAGAGAAUGGUGAACUCCUACCAGGUAAGUGGUUCUGCACCGACCGGCCUACGCCUCUCAUAAGCCUCCCACCAACAAAAGGCAGCUCCAAAGAACUGAAAAGUAGUGAACGAGACAUGACUGGUCUUCAGAAUACUUGCUAUAUGGAGCAUUCUCUGACACUUAUCCAAGAAUCCCUGUGCAUCCUCUCCCUCUGUACCACUGAAAGAUGGAGGCUGGAGUCUCCCAAACCUCUCCAAUCUAAGCUGCUCAUCAUCAGGAAUAGCAGGAACCACAUAGUCCAAAGCAGCUGCUACCGGCUUGGCUGGUGGUGCCCUCGGUGUCUAGAGUCCCUGCAUCACCUGCUCUAGUGUGCGGGCGGCGGGAGUCUGAGUACCUCCCCCGACUUGAGAAGUGGCCGCUGCGGUCAAAAUAGAGACCGCUUGAGCAAGACUGGUGCACACACUCAGAAUCUGAGCUAUGGCCUUCUGAAGGCCUGGAAUCAAAAUAGGCACAAUUGGUGCCUGAGCUGGUCCCGCUGGCGCAUCCACAACUGGGACCCGAUCCUGAACUGGGCAACUGGUCGAUCUGUAAGUGUUGUCCUAGGUGCUGGGCGGGCUGCACCUCUGCGCCUACCGCAGCCUCUACCACAACCUCGGCCUCUCGCAUCCCUAGCUGGUGGUACUGGUGGUUGUCCGUCUUGCCAAGUAGUACGUGUCCGUACUAUCUAUAAGAGAAUAGAAUAACAAAAGUUUAAUUACCAAAAUCAACAGAUUCGCACGACAAGAAUUCAAGAAUGUGAAGUUUCCUAAGGGUUCGCCAACCUCCCGACGAUAAGUACAGACAUCUCCAUACCGAUCCGCAAGACUCUACUAAACCUGCUCAUGACUCGUGAGAGCUAUGUAACCUAGGCUCUGAUACCAACUUGUCACGACCCAUAUCCUAACCUGUCGUGAUGGAGCCUAUCGAUGGUACUAGGCAAGCUGACAUUUUCAAAACACUUCCAAUAUUGCACAGAAAGAUAAACAAAAAGUUCAUAAAUAAAGAAGUGUUUUCAGAAACAUGGUUUAAACUCAAAAUACAAGUGCGAAAAAAUAGCCCCAAAAUCAGGGUGUCACUAAGUCAUAAGCAUCUAAACAUAACCAGUCCUAAAAUAACAAGACUAUCAUAGUCUGGCAUCCAAAUACAAUGAAAGGAGAGAUAAAGAAGAAGAAAGCAAUGCUGCGAACGUCGGGCAACUACCUCGUUAUUUCCGAUAAUCAGCUACGAGAACUAUUAACACCCUCCGUGUCCAGAAACUCCUAGAUCUGCACAUGAAGUGCAAGAUGUUGCGUGAGUACAACCAACUCAGUAAGUAGCAAAAAUAAAUAAAGAGCUGAAAGAUAGUGAUGAGAUACACAGAUAUAUUGUAUUAGUAGUAGUCCCAGGAAGGAAAAAAUAGACAUGCUUCCCAUAUCCGAUAAGUAAAAUCAAAUCAGUUUGUUUUAAGUCAAGUUCAAGUAAAAACCGGAUAAAAUAUCUUUCUAAAGUUUUCAAAGCAAUAAUAUAGGGAAAAUGUUUGCACCAAUAAUGAAAUCAUAUACAACUUCUCAAGGCAGUCAUCACUCAGUUCUCCCAUUCACUCCAACCUCACAAUCACUCAUUCCUCAUGAUCACUCAACACUCAGCACUCAACACUCUCACUUAGUAGGUACCUGCACUAACUGGGGGUAUGUAUAGACUCCGGAAGGGCUCCUAUAGCCCAAGCGCUAUAUCAAGCCAAUCGUGGUAUAAAUUAAUGAAACAUGAUGCGGCGUGCAGCCCGAUCCCAUAAAUAUCCUCACAAUUAGGCCCUCGGCCUCACUCAAUCAUCAGUCUCUCCAGUCUCCCGGGCUCUCAAAAAUCAGGAAAAAUAGCCCAACCAGCAAUAACAUAAUGUAUCAAUAAGAAUAACAGAGACUGAGAUAUGAUAUGCGAGUAAAAACUGCGACUGAGUACACAUAGCAUUUAGCAGGCAAUUCAACAUGUGUCGCAACCUCUAUGGGUCCCAACAGUUCUAUGUACCGCAAACUCUAUGGGUCCCAACAGUACCAACACAUCGCCUAAACAUGGUUUCUAACAUGUUUAUAGUCAAACUUCUAUAACACAUAAAGAGCAUAUAGCUAGAAGCAAAUUAUUCAACUUUACAGUUCCAUGGGAUGGACCAAGUCACAAUCCCCUCGGUGCAUGCCCACAUGGCCGUCACCUAGCAUAUGCGUCACCUAAAAAAUAAUUAUACGACACAAAAUUCAGGGUUUCAUACCCUCAGGACCAGAGUUAUAAUUGUUACUUACCUGAAUCUGGGUAAAACUCUCCUCCAAAAAUUCCUUUGCCUCGUAAGUCGGCCUCCAAACGCCCCGAAUCUAGCCACAAGAAGUACAAUACAAUCAAUAUAGGCUAAAGGAAUAAAUUCCACAAGAAAAAUGCAAAAUUAUAGCUCAAAACCCAAAAUUGGCUCAAACCGGCCCCGAACCCACGUCUCGAAAUCCGACAAAAGUCACAAAACCCGAAAGCCCAUUCACUCACGAGUCUAAUCAUACCAAAUUUAUCAAAAUCCGACACAAAAUGGCCAUUCAAAUCCCCAAAACUCACUCUCCAAAAUUCCUAGUCCUAAACCCCCAAAUUUUACCUAAAAAACUCACCAACUAGGUGUAAAAUCAAUGGGGAAACAUCGUUAUUGAAGAAGAACGAACACAAAGAGCUUACCUCAGUAAUCUCUUCAAAAACCCUCUCAAAAAUCUCAAAAGUCCGAUAUCAAAGUGAUGAAAGUGGUGAAAAAUCUUAAAGUCUUGUAUUUAUAUGUUCUGCCCAGGCCUUUUGCACCUGCGGCCAUUUAUCCGCACCUGCGGAACCGCUUUUGCGGUAAAAUUCCCACUUCUGCGGAAGUCACUUAUCCAGCUUCCUCCGCUUCUGCAAGCAUUGGACCGCAUCUGCGAAUAUCGCAGGGGCGGGUAAUCUAUCGCACCUGCGUAUCCAACCCGCAUCUGCACCCCUCAGCCCACUUCUGCGACCAUCGCAGAUGCGGGAUAGUCUUCGCACUUGAUACCACUGCUCAAAUCUUCCCUAUUUUCUUUUGUGAUUCAUGCCCCCCUUCUACUGGCUCGCACAUGCAGUGCCCACUCCGCAGGUGCGGUUACACCACUAGCAGCAUCACUUCAGCUGCUUCACUAACUCAAAACAAAGUUCGUUAACCACCCGAAAUCAACCCGAGGCCCCCGUGACCUCAAAUAAACAUACCAACAAGUCCUAAAUCACGAUACGGACUUAGUAAAACCCUCAAAUCACCUCAGACAACAUCAAUAACACGAAUUACACGCGAAUUCAAGCCUAAUAAACUUUAAAAUUUCCAAAUUCUACAAACCACGCUGAAACCUAUCAAAUCAUGUUCGAUUGACCUCAAAUUUUGCACACAAGUCAUAAAUGACACCACGAACUUACUCCAACUUUUGAAAAUCCAAUCCGACCCCGGUGCCAAAAAGUCUGCUCCAGGUCAAACUUUCCAAAACUCUAACUUUCGCCAAUUCAAGCCUAAUUCUACUACGGACCUCCAAAUCAAAAUUCGGACAAGCUCCUAAGUCCAAAAUCACCAAACAGAGCUAACAGAGCAAUCAAAAUUCAAAUCCGAGGUCGUUUACACAUAAUUCGACAUUCGGUCGACUUUUCCAACUUAAGCUUUCAAUUAAGAGACUAAGUGUCUCAAUUUACUCCGACAUCACUCCGGACCUGAACCAACCAACCUGAUAAGUCGUAUAACAGCUGAAGAAUACAAAAGAAACAGAAAAUGGGGGAACAUGGCUACAACUCUCAAAAUGCCCAUCCGGGUCUUUAUAUCCUCCCCAUCUUAAAUAAAUGUUUGUCCUCGAACGGGUCUAGAAACAUAGUUGGAGUCUCAAAUAGGUGUGGAUAUCUGAUCCACAUCUCCGCUAGGUCUCCCAAGUAACCUCCUCCACGGGUUGACCACUCCACUACACCUUCAUUGAAGCUAUAUCCUUUGACCUCAACUUUUGAACCUGCUAAUCAAAAAUGGCCACCGGCUCCAAAUCAUAAGUAAAUCACCAUCCAACUGAACCGUGCUGAAAUCCAAGACAUGAGAUGGAUUGCCGAUAUACUUCCGAAGCAUAGAAACAUGAAAUACUAGAUUCACACUCGACAAGCUAGGUGGCAAGGAAAGCUCGUAGGCCAUCUCCCCAAUCUUCUGAAGCACCUUAAACAUCCUAAUAAACCGAGGGCUCAACUUGCCCUCCUUCCCAAAUCUCAUAACACCCUUUAUGGGUGAAACCUUCAGCAGAACCUUCUCCACAACCAUAUAGGGCAACUGUGUGCACCAAUAAUGAAAUUGUAUACAGCCUCUCAAGGCAGUCAUCACUCAGUUCUCCCAUUCACUCAAACCUCACAAUCACUCAUUCCUCACAGUCACUAAUUCCUCACGAUUACUCAUCACUCGCUCUUAGUAGGUAUCUGCGCUCACUGGGGUGGUGUACAGACUCCGGAGGGGCUCCUACAGCCCAAGCACUAUAUCAAGCCAAUCAUGACAUAAAUCAAUGAAGCAUGUUGUGGCGUGCAGCCAGAUCCCAUAAAUAUCCUCACAAUCAGGCCCUUGGCCUCACUCAGUCAUCAAUCUCUUCAGUAUCUUGGGCUCUUAGAAAUUAGGAAAAAUCAGCCCAACUAGGAAAAACAUAAUGUAUCAAUAAGAAUAAUAGAGACUGAGAUAUGAUAUGCGAGUAAAAAUUGCGACUAACUACAAAUAGCAUUUAACAGGCAAACUCAACAAGUAACGUGACCUCUAUGAGUUCCAAUAGUACCAACACAUAGCCUAAACAUGGCUUCUAACAUGAUUUACAGUCAAGCUUCUAUAACACAAAGAGAGCAUAUAGCUAACAUCAAAUUAUUCAACUUAACAGUUCCACGGGAAGGACCAAGUCACAAUCACCUUGGUGCACGCCCACACACCCGUCACCUAGCAUGUGCAUCCCCUCCAAAAUAAUCACAUGGCACAAAAUCUGGGGUUUCAUACCCUCACGACCAGAUUUAUAAUUGUUACUUACCUCAGUACGAGCAAAACUCUCCUCCAAAAAUGCCUUUGCCUCGCGAGUCGGCUUCCAAAUACCCCGAAUCUAGCCACAAGCAGUAUAAUACAAUCAAUAUAGGCUAAAGGAAUCAAUUCCACAAGAAAAAUGCAAAAUUAUAGCUCAAAACCCAAAAUUGGCUCAAACAAGCCUCUGGGCCCACGUCUCGAAAUCCGAGAAAAGUCACAAAACCUGAAAGCUCAUUCACUCAUGAGUCUAACCAUACCAUAUUUAUCAAAAUCUGAUGCCAAAUGGCCAUUCAAAUACCCAAAACUCACUCUCCAAAUCCCUAGCCCUAAACCCCCAAAUUUUACCUCAAAAACUCACCAACUAGGUGUAAAAUCAGUAGGGAAACAUCGUUAUUGAAGAAGAAUGAACACAAGGAGCUUACCUCAGUAAUCCCUUCGAAAACUAUCUAAAAAAUCUCCAAAGUCCGAGCUCAAAGUGAUGAAAGUGGUGAAAAAUCUCGAAGUCUCGAAUUUAUAUGUUCUGCCCAGGACUUUCGCACCUGCGGCCAUUUAUCCUCACAUGCGGAACCGCUUCUGCGGUACAAUUCCCGCUUCUGUGGAACUCUCUUAUCCAGCUGCCUCCGCUUUUGCGAGAAUUGGACCGCAUCUGUGAAUAUCAUAGGUGCGGGUAAUCCAUCGCUCCUGCGGAUCCAACCCGCAGCUGUGCCCCUCAACCCGCUUCUACGACUAUCGUAGGUGCGGGAUAGUCUUUGUACCUGCGACCACUGCUCAAGUCUUCCCUGGCCCCUUCUGCGAUUCACGCCCCGCUUCUACGGGCUCGCACCUGUGGUGCCUAUUCCGCAGAUGCGGUUACACCAGUAGCAGCAUCACUUCAGCUGCUUCACUAAUUCGAAACCAAGUCCGUUAACCACCCGAUAUAAACUGAGGCCCCCGGGACCUCAAACAAACAUACCAACAAGUCCUAAAUCACGAUACAAACUUAGUCGAACCCUCAAAUCACCUAAAACAACAACAAAAACACGAAUUACACACAGAUUCAAGCCUAAUGAACUUUGAAAUUUCAAAAUUCUACAAACCACGCCGAAACCUAGCAAAUCACGUCUGGUUGACCUCAAAUUUUGUACACAAGUCAUAAAUAACACCACAAACCUACUCCAACUUCUGGAAUUCCAAUCCAACCCUAGUGCCAAAAAGUUCACUCCCGGUCAAACUUUCCAAAAUUCCAACUUUCGCCAAUUCAACCCUAAUUCUACUACGGACCUCCAAAUCAUAAUCCGGACACACUCCUAGAUCUAAAAUCACCUAACGAAGCUUACAGAACCAUCAAAAUUCAAAUGUGAGGUGGUUUACACAUAAGUCAACAUCCGAUCGACUAUUCCAACUUAAGCUUUCAAUUAAGAGACUAAGUGUCUCAAUUCAAUCCGACAUCACUCCGGACCCAAACCAACCAACCCGGAAAGUCAUAUUAUAGCUGAAGAACAUAAAAGAAGCAAAAAAAAGGGGGAACGGGGCUACAACUCUCAAAACGACUGACCGGGUUGUUACAACUGACUCUAGUCUCACUUCUUCAACAUCGACAUCCUCAAAUUCUUGUUGGUUAGAUUUUUGAUGUUCUACUCUGACCUCCUCUAAUAGCACCUCAAAUUCACGCUCUUCUUGGCUACUAUCCCCAAUAUUGUCUUGUUGAGCAUUAAAAUCUUCGACCACUUGACUCACUUGAGCCUCCAAGUUGCGAAUAGUUGCCUCUUACCUUUCUAUCUCUAGUUUUUUCUCAUUAUUUUAUUCCAUAAGGUACUUUAACAUAUCCUUGAUCUCCUUUAGGUCUACAUCCCCAGGCUCUUUGUUCCUAUUAACAUCAUAAGAAAAAGUAGAACCAUCAAAGUAAGGGGUUGGGGGAGGAUAAGAAAUAUAAGCACAACCAUGAAAGUGACCAUUUUGACCACCACACACAUCACACACAUUCCACAAAUUAGAUUGAGUUGGUGAACAUAACUCGCUCUCGAUAAUAUUUUGAUAAUUUUGCCACGAGUGGUUUCCUUCACAAUAUAUAUGAGGAUCAAUAGUAGAAUUAUCUACACCUAAACUCCAUAAUUCCAAGAUGUCAUGUUUCUCAAAUCAACAGUUAGAAUAAAAUAAAUUAAGAGAAUAAAGCAAAACAAAACAAAAUAAAAGUUUAAACUUGAAACCUAGCAAUAUAUACAACUACAACUACACCAUUAGUUCUCCGGCAAUGGCGCCAAAAGUUGAUCAAGCCCAACUCUAGUCCUAAAAAGGAUAAACGGUCACUGCAAAUAUAAUCCGGUCUAAAAGUUUGGAGUCGAAUCUCACAUAGAACUAAGAUUUAGCUACAACUGUUGAUUAUCACAAAGAAGACAAGCUCGAAUAAUUCCAAAGUUAUAAAUAUAAAGAUUCUUAUAUCUAACUAAUUAACUGAUAAAUUAAAGUAGUAAAUUAACAACUAGGGAUACUAAGGAUUAGAGAAAAGAUUAAGGAAGUCUAGAGUUAUGAUUUUCCCAAUUGUCAGAAUUAUUCCCGCUACUUCUUAUAUAAUUUUGCCUAAGUAUUCUCUACUGAUCAUGAGCACUCGACUUAUCAUAAUUCUCUCUCGAGCAACUACAAUAAUGUACUAGUCAUAUUCUCUUGAAUUAUGCUAGCUCACAAUUUUUCACCGCUCACUAUGAUCAUGUCAAAGCUUCGUUAUCUCUAAUUCUGCUUUUAAACCUGCCGUAUUGAUCUCUCAUAUAUGUUAGGAGUGGCGUUGUUCAACAACCACCUAAAUAUGUAUUGUUUUUCAAGCAAUGCGUAAUAAAUAGGCAUCGUUAAUUGAGAGCUCUUCAAUUAACUAAAAUAAGCACAUAGUUGAACAAAUAGAAAAAUUCAAAGACUCAAUUAUAUCAAAACGUAUCAAGAAUUCAUCCUACAAAAGGUUUCAUCAAAACCCAAGAUAACAAAUUAGAUAUUCAUAAUAGUAUGCAAAACUACAAUACUAGAAUUCAUAAUCAAUAACGAAAAUAGGAAGAAGAAAGUGAAUAACUCGUAGAAGAAUUCUCCACCUUGCUUCUUGUGUUUUCCUGCUCCUUAGGUCGAUUCCCUCUCUAAUGAUGUAUUCUGAUGUCUAACCAUUCAAAAACUAACUUUAAGGGGUAUUUAUAGGGUAGGGGCCGAAUUCUACAUGUCCAAGACUAAUAAGGAAUUAAAAUUUGCUCGGAUGGCAUCGUCGGCACCUUGCACUUUCCGUGGCACUGUCGUUUCGGUGCAACGCACUAUCUAGGGCGCCAAUGAUAGUGCCCUGGACAAUGUCUUGGACUGUUUAUGGCACUUUUGUUACUGUGCAAGGCACUGUCUGGGGCACCAAUGACAGUGCCAUGGACAAUGCCUUGCACUGUCUAUGGCACUAACAUUUUGUUGCCUUGCACGUCUUCUUUUAUCGCUCCAUUUUGUAGCUGUGAGGUACCAUUUCAUGAAAGAAUUUCUCCAUUUCAUGUCCAAGCAUUCCUACACAUGAAAUACGCUCUAUUUAAAGGCAAUUGUCGCACAAAUUAACAUCCAAACAACAAGCAAAUACUGUCAAAAUAUAUGGAAUUAUCUCACGACAUCAACACCCCACACUUAAAUGUUGCUCUCCCUCGAAUCAACCAACCAAACACUUCAUCAUCAAGGACCCAACAAGCUACACAUUUACAACACACUAUGCUUAUGACCAUGGUUAAUAGCAACAAUUAAGCUCUAGCAUGUGCUGUUAAAAUACUCUUCCCAUACUUAUGCCCAAUUUUAAAACAUCCAAUACAGGAUCAAUAUGAUUACAACAAUCCUAGCCUCAAAAACUUACUCAAUGUCACAAUGCACUCGAGGCUUGAAUACUUAAUCUAACAUAGAGGUCUAAUAACGUUACCUAUCCUUUGUGAAACCAUGUGCCCUCACAAUAAAACAAAGAGUAAGCAGUCCACACAUCCAAAUCACAUGAUCGAAUAUAAUUUAAGGACUCACACAUAUGAAGAAAAGGCACACACUCUCUCAAAGAAGUCACAUGCACGCAAAACAUACCAGAGGCUUGCCCAUUAUGUAAACCUCUACUAAUGUAGGCUCACUCGGUCCGAAAUCAACUAGGACUUUAUUAUGGUUGUAAUGUGGGCUAAAGGAUGGGUAGGAUAUAUUUAGAGUAUAGUGGCGAACCCUUCAAAGCAUUUUAACACAUCAUGUAUUCAACUUUGAGGCUGGGGAUUUGGGUGUCGAUUUGGUGUUAGAUUUUGAUAAAUUUGGUAUGGUUGGAAUCGUGGUGGAAUGGGCUUCCAGGUUUUGUGACUUUUGUUGGAUUCCGAGAUGUGGGCUCGGGGGCCGACUUUUGAGUUGGCUUUUUACUUUUAAAUUAAGAACUUAGUAAUUUCAUAUGGAAUUGGUUCCUUUAGAUCGUGUUGAUUGUAUCGAACUGUUUGUGGCUAGAUUUGAGGCAUUUGAAGACCGUUUCGCGAGGCAAGGACUUGUUGGAGUAGAGUUUCGUACAAAUUGAGGUAAGUAACACUUUUAAACUUGGUUCUAAGGGUAUAGAGCCCCGAAUUUUGUGUUAUGCGAUUGGUGUGAGGUGACACAUGUGCUAGGUGACAGGCAUAUAGGCGUGCACUGUAGGAAAUGUGACUUGGUCGACUCCAUGGAACUGAAUAAUUGAUUUAGCUUGCUAUUACCCAUAUUCUCUUCAUUUGAUAGAAUAAUUGAGUUGUCGGUCAUGCUAGAAAUCUUGUUUAAGUUACAUGUUGAACUAUUUUGCUUAACCUGUCAUUUUAUACUCAGUCAUAGUGAUUGUUUGCAUAAUAUGUCUCAGUCUCUGUUGUGCUUAUUUGCUACGUAAUAUCAUUAUUGUUUGGGCUGAAUAGCAUAAUUUAGGUGAGCUUAAGAGAUUGGAGAGAUUAGUGAUUGAGUGAGACUGAAGGUCUAUUGUGAGUUAUAUUAAUGGGAUCAAGCUGCACGCCACAACAGACUUUAAUGAUUGAUGCUAGGAUUUGGAAUAUUAUAGUGCUUGGGCUGGAUCGGCCCCUCCAGAGUCUGCACAUCCACAGUGGGCGCAAUGCUAGCAAUUAUUUACAUUUAGGCUAGAUCUGCCCUAGUUUAUUGCAUUCGGCAUGGACCUGCCCUGGGCUGGAUCUGCCCUGUUAUGUGUUAAUUUUUGUUGUAAAAUCUAAAAGCAUGUCUAAAUUCUUGUACCUUCACUUGUAGACUAUGAAUUUUUGAGAUAUCACUGUCAUAUUUUUUGUAACUUUUCGUACUCUUAAAUGUUUAAAGCGGACCAAAAUAAUUAGACUCGUCACUACUUUCAGUCCAAAAGUUAGAUGUUUUACUUAUUGAGUUGGUUGUACUCACGGCACACUCUGCACAUCAUGUGUAGAUCCAAGUGCUUCCGGUCACGGCGGUUGUUUAUUUGCAGAGUCCAGACCUUCGGAGGCCAUCGAGAUAGUUGCUUGGAAUCCGCACACGUUGACUCUCCUCCCUUAUCUUUCAGUUUGUUAUUCAGUCUUACUUUCUAGAUAGUGUACCAGACUAUGUCUUUAUGUAGCUGCUCAUGUACUCAGUGAUACCCCGAUUUUGGGAAGAAUUUAUGUAUUGAGUUAUGAUUUCCUAUCAUGUUUUAAGAGAUUUUUCCUUUAUUUAAACUGUGUUAGUAUCUUUCAAAGAUUUAAAUUGUUUUAAAUGUCUGAGUAGUCAGCUUGCCUAGUACUGUGAUAGGCGUCGUUACGAUGGGUUGGUUUUGGGUCGUGACAGAAGCAAAGCAGUGACAAUAAGUAGUAACAACAACAAGAUAUCAAGAAAAUGGACAAGAAAGACAACAAUCAAAUGGUAAGUAGUAAUAAUAAUCGAAGAAUCAAAGUAUCAUACUAACAUUAAUACUACUGGUAUGUGAUGAGCUUAAAAUUAUUCGACAUUUAUGCCCUCUUUGUGUCCUUGAUUUGGUUGAUUUGAUAGAGAUUUAGUCUGAUUAUGGUCUAAUGUGUUGCAUUUCAGUGCAGGUGGUGCAGAGGGGAUCAAUGGACAAAUAGUGCACAAAGUGGGAGGAAAAUAAGCUGAUAAAGGAGGAAAUUCUCAUGCACGGCCGCACUCGAGCAGUCCCAAAUGCGCAUUUGAGCGCGCAAAUCUCACAGAAAAACUGGUAGAUGUGCACGGUCAUAUGUGCGCCAAGACACCCAGAUGCGCGACCGCGCAUGUCUGUCUCCGCGAAUUUUUGUCAAGCCUAUUUUUAUAAAUUGGGAGGCAUCCUUUUGACCUAUAUGACGCCUAAGCUCAUCACAAAACAGGGCAUCUUAGAUUUUUGGAGUGACCUUUGGAGGAAAAAAGCAAGGAACAACAUGGACUUUUGAAUACUUUAUCUGAAUCAUUCAAUACGAAAGUUUAUUUGAAUUCAUGGGUUGUAAUAUUUUCUUGUCAUCUUAUUACUCUUCUGAUGAACAAUUUUUCUAUUAUGGAGUAGUCCUUCUUAGGUUUAUUGAUAGAUAUUGUGAAUUGAUUAUUAUUCAAGGGUUUGAUUGCUGUUAGUUGCUUGAAUUUGUUGAACAAGUUUUGAAUUAGUUUACAAAGUUACUGGGGAUUUCACUUUAAUCAGAAGAAAAGUGCACUUCAAUAGUCAUUGUGUUAUCUUGUUUGGGUUAAUUUCACGACUCUCAUAGGUAAUCGAAAGAUCUUGUAGAUUUAUCAAUUUAUCCAAUUUAGAGGAAUAGUGGAGAGACGUUCCUUGUAAGAACAUUCAUUGAACGUAUUCGUGCAUACGUUCAUAGAACUUGUCAUUAGGUUGUUUAACAGAACUCUCAUUCAUUCGGAAGAAGAAUUUGAAUCCUUAAUAUAGCCUAAUCAUCUGUUGAAAUCAAAAGAGUCAAUAGAAUUUGAGAGUGAACUUAGCACAAAGUUAUCCUGAAUAAUAGUUGAUCACAUAUCUUGUCAAGCCCUUAUUUCUCACAUUGAUAUUCGAUCGUUGCUACUUAGUCACCCAAUUUCCAUUAUUCAUUCACAAUUGAUAACUUAGUUUUUACUCUUAGUUCGUUAAUAACUCAAAAUCAAAGAUUUAUUUUCCUGAAUAGUGUUAAGCUUGUCACACCUCCUUUUUCUACCACCGAAGGGGUAUAUAAGGGAGUUUGUCCAAUUUACGUGACAAUCGAAACGAGAUUAUUUAUUUAGAAAUCAGAGUCGCCACUUGGGAUAAUUUAUGGUGUCCCAAGUCACUGGUUUAAAUCUCGAAUCGAGGAAAAAAUUGACUCUGUUUUACAAUCCACGAACACAGAAAUCCGGGUAAGGAAUUCUGUUAACCCAGGAGAAGGUGUUAGGCAUUCUCGAGUUCCAUGGUUCUAGCAUGGUCGCUCAACUGUUAUUAUUGGCCUAAUUAUCUGAUUUUAAAAUACUUUUAAGCCUAUGUGUAUUUUUUAACUUUCUAACCGCUUUUAGUAUUUCAGGAAAAUUCAAGGUUAUUUAAAAAACAUCAAAGGCCACGUUACAUGAAAUGCACCCGCGGUUCACGACACAUUCUAUUUAACCUUGUUGGAAAUUAGAAUCGGGUCACAUGAAAUAUACACCCGGAUUUUGUAAUUAAAAAUCACAACUACGUCACGAAAUCGUACCCGUAGAAAUGGAAAUUAUUUAAUUAACGCGCCUAAAGCAAACUACGAAAGUUCAAGGCAUUUUUUUAUACUAGUUUUUGUAUUUAUGUGAUGGCCAUACAUUAUGGAUUUUGUUUGCGUAUGCACACCUCAAUUAUUUUUUUUUAAAAAAAAGAAUUAUUUCAUUAAGGUAAACUAAAGAUACUGCUACUUUAAUCUAAUUUAAAAUUAAAUAUCACGACCACGUCACGGGAACCGUACCCGUAGUCACGAUGAUGAUUUAUUUUCGUGCCUAAAGGUUCGCCUACCCGGAUGUGGUGGCCUAAGUAUGAUCUUAUGACCAAUUAAGAGAAUAAAAGUAAUAAAUUCCAACUUUCUUUCAUUUAAUGACAAAGCUCGUGGCCACAUAUUAUUAAAAGUUUUUCUAAACCAAUACAACCAUUCAAUUGAAGCGAAGCAUCCAAUCCUAGUAGACCAAAUGAAACGAAAUGAUUAUAAGAAAUCAAACCCCAGUUGACCCAGUGUAUUAAUUCAAAUGAUUAUCAUCCAAGCAAAUGUAUGGUUUCUGGAAAUUUCAAUAUAGAGAUAGGAACAAAACUUAUUAAAAUUCAAUCCACUUUAAUCAUAGAAAUCCGCAUCGUCAUAAUCAAACCAACAAGGGAAAGCUAACUACUGCAGAUUAAUAAACAUAAUGAUGAAGUAUGCAAUGAUUUCACAUUCUAACUUGAAUAAAGACGAGCAACAAAUCACCGUACUUAAGGUUUUCACAUAUCCUUUUCAUACUAAAGUCAUAUCAAUAAUAGAAUAAUAGGGAAAUCGAUAAUGAACCUGGACUGAAAUUCUUCUUAGUAACAGUAGAGGAAUGAGCAUAUACAAUGUUUUGCUCCCAAAUUUAAACUGAGAACAAAGCAAUUGAGCAAAAACGCGAGCCAAACCACGAACCUCAGACGAAAACUCCAAUCGGCAUCAGAAUGAACUCAAUUAAACCCCGUCGAUCCCAUGGAAAAAAAGGGAGUGGCGAUGAGAGGGGACCAUUAUGGUGGUGGAAGAGCUCGACGAUAGUGAGGCGCGGCUGGGUUCUCUGAGGGGGUUGGUUUCCGGCGAAGCAACGGUUGCUGGUGUGGGCUCCGCUGGAGAUGAGGAAAGGGGGGUCGUUUGGAGAAGACGAAGUCAGGGGGUGGGGUCAUUUAUGGUUGCGGCGAAUCUGUUUUGUCUCUUAGGUCUUGGUGUAUUUUUUUUUUUGCUAUUUCAGCUUCUUCUUCUUCUUCUUUUUUCAGGCGUUAGGUGUUAGCCUAUAUAUGUAGGUCCUAGAGUCUAGGUUUAUAUUUUGUGUAUUUGCUCUUAGGUCUUUAGGGUCUUUUUAUUUAUUUAUUUAUUCCAAAGAAGAGUCUAGAAGGGUCCCUAGGAUUAGCUUAAUGGGUAUUGGGCUUAAGGAAUAGGCUAGACACUUGGGCCUUUAUGACUAGCUAUGCUUAGAAUUAGCUUAAUUAACUAAAAAUCUAUCCAUAUAGAAAUUUUAUCAAAAAUAUUAAUUAGCCCUACUUAAGUAAAAAUAAUUAUUAAAAUAAGACUGACUGUUAAAACAAAAUUAUUUAUUGGUAUUUUUCAAGAUUAAAAAUGACUAUAAAACAUUAAUGAACCUAUUUUUGUAAUUUUCGUUUUCUUGUAAUAAAAUAAAAGUAAAAGAGUAAAAUGAGUUGAAAUAACUAUAUUAGGCCUAAAUUAAAUAUUUACAUGCUAAAAUAUUUAAAAUCUUGAGGAGGGUCAAAAAUCACAUGUCUACAGCUGCCCCUCUUUGACUGGAAACACGAAGUAUUUUCAGACAAAGAACGACCAGACAGGUUUUUGGACCCGACCCUUAUUUGGAGAGACUAAAACUAAGAGAAAGGGGAAUUUGACCGAGCCCUUGUAUCUAAGCUGCCUACAUAUCCUUGGCUAUAAAAGAAUCAGGCCACAUGUAGUUCAGAAGUGAGUGAGAUGAUGGAGUAUGCCGAGGUGGAGAGCCAGUCGAGGUGCCGUUCCGCCGAGGUUCCGGUCCGCGGUCCUGAUGNNNNNNNNNNNNNNNNNNNNNNNNNNNNNNNNNNNNNNNNNNNNNNNNNNNNNNNNNNNNNNNNNNNNNNNNNNNNNNNNNNNNNNNNNNNNNNNNNNNNNNNNNNNNNNNNNNNNNNNNNNNNNNNNNNNNNNNNNNNNNNNNNNNNNNNNNNNNNNNNNNNNNNNNNNNNNNNNNNNNNNNNNNNNNNNNNNNNNNNNNNNNNNNNNNNNNNNNNNNNNNNNNNNNNNNNNNNNNNNNNNNNNNNNNNNNNNNNNNNNNNNNNNNNNNNNNNNNNNNNNNNNNNNNNNNNNNNNNNNNNNNNNNNNNNNNNNNNNNNNNNNNNNNNNNNNNNNNNNNNNNNNNNNNNNNNNNNNNNNNNNNNNNNNNNNNNNNNNNNNNNNNNNNNNNNNNNNNNNNNNNNNNNNNNNNNNNNNNNNNNNNNNNNNNNNNNNNNNNNNNNNNNNNNNNNNNNNNNNNNNNNNNNNNNNNNNNNNNNNNNNNNNNNNNNNNNNNNNNNNNNNNNNNNNNNNNNNNNNNNNNNNNNNNNNAGGGGGCUCCUGAUUGCCGAACUCCUUUGAACCUUGCUGCUUCCCUUCGUUCUCCAGGUGGGCUCCUGGUUGCUGUCUUCCUUUGAACAUUGUUGCUUCCCUUCGUUCUUCAGGUGGGCUCCUGAUUACCAACACUUGCGCUGUUUUUCCUUGAAACUUGAAUUGCCUCCCUUGAAACUUGAACUGCUUCUCUUUGUUCUCUAGGUAGGCUCCUGAUUUCCAACACUUGAACUGACCCCUCUGAAACUGCUACUUGUGAACCUGAUUACAAUAAAACAAACAAACAAAAGAAAUUUUUCUGCCCCAGUUUGAUAUCGGGAACAUCUGUGAGUGUUAAUCUAAUCAUAAUACCCAAAAGCUCUAAGAAUUUAAAAGCUAAAUCCCAUUAUCCAGGAGGGUCCUGAAAAUUAAAAAUUAAAUCUCAUCUCAAGAGUGACAACUUCAAAGCUAAAUUCUAUUUCCUAAAGGUAAAAUUUACGCUAAAUCUUAUUGUCUAUGAAGGUCUUAAAAACUUAAAACUAAAUCCCAUUAUCCGGGUCCUGAGAACUUUAAAUUAAAUCAUAUUAUCCAUGAGGGUCCUGAAAAUUUUAAAUUAAGUCCCAUUAUCCAGGAGGGUCCUGAAAAGCUGAGAAUGAACUUACCUAAGCCGCGCUCUUUUCCUGGAGGAUCUAUGUAGACCGAACAAAAUUCCUUUCCCCUAAACCACUCUUUUCCUCAUGGAGGGUUCAUGUAGAUCGAAUAAAUUUUUCUUUCCCCUUCUCAAACCGCCUUUGUGCUGACAAACUUUGGGCACGACACUUGAAAAAGUUCAAACUUCCAAGCUUUGAUUUGGACACAAUUUUCGUCCCUGUUUCAAACAAAGAGAACUUAUGAGUUUAUAAAUAUGGUGGUUGGUUUGUGGCCUUGAAUUUGAGGGUGAUUUCUCCUUCACUUCCCAUGAUAACUUUGAUUUCCACUCGAAAGAUCUUGCUUUUUUAUUGACUUACUACUUUCUCUGUCACCCUUAUCACGGAAAAUACCUCUAAUCUGUUCAAACCCAAUACCAUUCAUCUGUUGCAUUGUGCUCUUGCAUUGACAUGUACUGAACCUUUGUGUUUCACAUGAAUCCCAAAGCACAUCAAUUGCCAUCCACUCAGUGCACAUGUUGUUCUUUCCUGACUUAAAACACUGGCCUUGGCCUUGAGGUCUAUUGCUCCUUCAUUUGCCAUGAUAACUGAUUUCCGCUUGGAAGACCUUCCUUGUCCCUGGUUAACCACUUCUUUUGUCAAUCUUAUCAUAGAAAAUACCUUUUAUCCGUUCACCCUUCAUCCUCGAUCUAUUGCACUGAUCAUGAAUUGACAUAUACCAAACCUUUGUAUUUCACAUGAAUCCCAAAGCACAUUGAUUGUUGCCAACUCAAUGCGCAUGUUGUUCUUUCCUGACUUAUGCCACUUUGAUGUGUUAGCCAGAUCCUAUUUUGUGCAAUUGGAAAGCGGGUGGCAAAUUGUGAAGUCAUUUCUCACUUGUUCUGACCAAACAAACUUAGGAAGAGGAAGUAAACAAAACAAAAGGAACAGAGUAAAGGACAAUGGAAAGAGAUGAUUCCUAACAAACAAAACUACAAAGCAAAAACUUAUCAGAUGUGGACACCAACUCUAAUAACCAUGACAUGCACAUGUGGCCUAAUCUGUCAAGCAAGUCUGAUGUUCAACACUUGUUAUACCCCUAAACCGUGAAACUGGGCUUCAAUGCUCCGAUUAUCCAAUCUGAUUCACAAUCCUUAUUCGACUUGUAGUGCCCGAAGGGUUUUCACUAUCAAGCCUCUCUCAUUUUGUUCUUUUUCUCAACUCAUCAUCGCCUUAUAGUGCCUGGGAAGGUUUUCACCGAUAAGACUCUCAUUUUUUUUCUUCUUUCUUCUGAUUUUGUUGAUGACAAGGCGUUGACCAUAGUAAAAACAUCAUGUGCUCCUGGCAUGUCUAAACUCAGCACUCUCAAAGAUUAUUUGGGAGGUCUUUUUUGGACUAUGAUGUGGCUUUUGGAUAGGGUUAGAAAGAAAGGAUAUCAUAAAGGCUCAAAAUUACUAAAACAACAGGGUUAAUUUAUUUACAACUUUUGGAAUCCAUUCUAAAAACUUUGCCCAAUUUCUAAAACAAUGGAAUUUGAUUCUUUUUUAUUUUGUUUUUCUUUUUUGAUGGAGUUAUUAAUAAAGACCGCCCCACAUUCGACUUCGUCGGAUUAUGAAAUAUUUUAUUUGGUAUGACCGAACCGUUAGGCUGCCUACGUAUCUUGUGGUGACAAGAAUCAGGUCAAACGUAAUUCACAAAACUACUUUUUGUAACUAUUUGCCUUUCUUUUUUCUUUCUCUCUUUUUUUUUCUUUCUUUCUCUUUUUUUCUUUUUCCUUUUUUCUCCUUUAUCUCUAUUUUUCCCUUCUUUUUUGAAUUUUCCUUUCGGAAUGAACUUUCUAAAAUAAACCUAUGGGGACAUGAACUCUUUUUUUUCGUAUGACUCUAACUUGAUUCCAAAAGAGGGGAGGUCAAAGAAAUCAGUACAGGCUCAAAAGAGUAUCGAAUGGUAUAAGUGUUUGGGUAGCUGAAAGAGGGCCUCCUAAUCGCUGAAAAUGCCAAGUACAACACAUGCAACUUGAAACGGAAAUUGAAAAUCAUGCACAAUAUUUCUUUUGCAGCUUCGACAUUGAUAUCACUGAUAUUCCUUCGACUUUUAGUUAGCGCCUUUUCAAGUACAGAAUCCUCGUUGGGUGAUUCCCUCUUCACAAUGGAUAUCUUCCAUCAAUUUGGAGAGAAAUUCCUUGACUUUAUCUUGUAACUUGAGAUGCACUUGAACUCAAAGUUGCUUGCUUCAAAUCGUCCGGUAUGCACUCUCCCUUAACGAAUUCUUGUUACCCUAUUAACUUUCCAAAUUAACUGCCCCAGUUUCACACAGUUCGGGCUUCAAAUGAACUCAAAAUAUCCAAAUCUGUACUUAUUUCCCUCAAGUGUUCCCAUCAUCUUCAAAAUUAUUUUAUUGCUUCAUGAUUAAACUAACUUUUAAGACCAGGCCUAGAAUUAUGCGUGCAUGUCAUGUCACUAGAGCCAGCAUGAAAAGAACUAUAAAAGGAAAAAAACUAAACAAAAAUGAUUAACAUAAAACAGAAAAUUGCAUUAGAUAGACGGUGAAAGGGUUUGAACAACAAGAUAAGUAAAAUAAACUGGGGUACGACCCUGGAACAAACCUAGAUAACACGAAAUGAGUUACUACGACUAAAUGAACUCGGCAAAAUAAAAGGAUAGAAGGGUUUGAUAGUCACAAGACAAUAUCCGAAUUACAACCCUGAAAUAAACCGGACAACAGAAAUGACAAUAAAAUAAACCACCAAUACUCCUCCCUGGCUAACCAAGAAAGGAGCAUCUUUUCAAUCACCAAGCUCAACAUCUUAGCCAUUGAAUUUUGCAUCAACAAUACUAGGACCUUCACAAGUCUUCAUCACAUUGUUCUUAACAAAUUGCUUUUGGGUUCCCUUUUGCCGGCUCGUUGUUAAGAUCAACCUCUGAUAGCGCUGAAAGCUUUGCAGCGCAUGGACCUCCGAGGAUCUCAGAAGAAUUCUCAUAUUCCUUUUCAAAACAAACCAUACUCACCAUAUGCGUCUCAUUACGAACAGGCGAUGGACUUUGGCUAGUGUCUGUUGCAUCUGGAUUUUGCACGACAAUGUCACCUGCAUUAAUAAGCUUAUAAAUUGCAUUUUUUAGGUGCCAACACUUUUCUGUACUAUGACCCGGGGCAUCGGAGCAAUAUGCGCACCUUUGAGAAAAAUCAAACUUCUUUGGCAGAGGGUUUGGCAUUUUUAUCUGAAUCGGCUUCAACAUAUCCAAUUGCCUCAACCUUUGGAACAAACUGGCAUAUGAUUCUCUAAUAGGGGUGAAAGCCUUUUCUUUUUUCAACAGUCUUUUCAGUUUGUAUUCUGGCCUCGGUUGGAAACUUUUGCGGGUAGGUGGCUGAUAUGCUUGAGGAGGCGGGUAAGACAUUUGUGGAAGUGGUGCAGGCCAUCGCGGGCCUCAUGGGUGUGGAGCAUAUGGUGGUGCAUUGUGGAUAGGGUACUAGGAAAGUGAUGUACGACUUUGGGGGUUACGUGGAGAGAAGUAGCAUUGGGGAGGAUCAUCUGGUGCACAAGGAGAUCCAUGGGGUCGAUGUCGAGGCUGAACGCGUUGAGUAGGAAUGCCCAGUGGAUCAUCUUUUCUAUUUCUCUUUAUUCCACCCAAACUUACUGGGAUGUUCUGAAUGUCUUCCGUAGUAUCUUUCAAUGCCGAAUAACUCAUGAUUUUGCCUGACUUGAUUCCCUUUUCUACCAUAUUCCCCGUUUUUACCACAUCAUUGAAAGGUUUACCCAAGGUCGGAAUCAAAUGACUGAAGUAGGUGGGCCCCUAAGCUUGUAGGAAAAGCUCAACCAUUUCUUCUUCACCAAUCGAGAGACUGACUCGAGAAGAUUUCUCCUUCCAUCUGAGCCCAAACUCCCUAAAGCUUUUCUCCAGUUUCUUUUCCAUCUUAGAUAGGGAGGAGCGGUCUGGGGUAAUGUCUAAUUUGUAUUGAAACUGUCGAACAAAAUCUUGAGCCAUGUUGCCCAAUGUAUGCCACUUACCGACAUAUUGACGAUUAUGCCAUUCCAAAGCUGCCCCAGUCAAGCUCUCACUGAAAUACGCAAUCAACAAAUCAUCUUUCUCGUCAGCACUACUCAUUUCCCUGCAAUAAACCCUCAGAUGGGCUACCGGAUCUCCACGGCCCUCAUACAAAUUGAACUUUGGCACUUUAAACCCCGCAGGCAGAUGAACAUCAGGGAACAUAUAAAUCUGAUUUCUCAUCCCUUGCAUGCUCCUUAAGGACUAUUCCAUACCUUUCAGCUUCCUGGAUAUCUCAUCUCGCCCUUCUUUUCCUGUGACCUUUUCAUUUUCAGCAUGAGGCUCAUUCCGAGUGCUCUCCUUGUAUGAGCUAAGAACCUUGUGGGCAACCUCUGAGAGGUAAUAUUGGGCAUCAUGAGCUCUGAGUGGGUAUUCAUUGUUGGAUAUAGUGGAUAUGACAGGAGGGCAAUUUUGGGGAAAGGUAAUUGGAGGACGAGUGAUGGAGCUACUAGGGUGGUUGGGAAAGCUGUGAUAAGCAGAACAAUCUGGAGAGUAUGGGGAAUCAUCUGGCACUAUGACCAGAGUUUGGGUAAGGGUAGCAUCUAGGAAGGUAAGUGGUGGAGGGGGUGGUGCCUUCCUAGUCAUCCAAGCCUGAUACAUGUCCGCCAUGUGUUGUCUUAACAUCCUCACCUUUUCAACUAACCCAUUGUCCUAUUCAACCAAUUGCUUUUGGGCACCCGUAUCAACCAACUCAGUUCUGUUGUCAUCUGCCAUUGCCUUUCAACUUUAUGUUGUAGAGAAGAGUUACCACUUUAAGAACCACAAACCAACCACCUUUCUGCUAUAAUGAAGAUAACAAAAGGAACAAAAUGAAGUCAUCACGUUAGCGUUAGGGCAUUUAACAUAAGAUAAUCUCAUUUUAUGUGCAAUGCACCUAGCCACAGUUACCGGUUCUAAAAUGACUUCGAGGGUACGAAGGUCAGUUGGCAUCAUCCCAAUUUGUUCAUCUCAAUCCUCUCUUUUCUUUGCUUUUCUAGCACUUGCUUGCUCAUUUUCCUUCCUUUUUUUGCUAAUUAUCACUCUCUUCUUCCUCUCAUUUUUCACAUCCCAUCAUUUCACCCCUUUUUUUCUUUUUUUUCUCUUUUUUUUUCCUUUUGUUUUUUUUUUCGUAAAAAUAAAACAUUUUGAUCGAACCCUAUAUAGGUUGCCUACUAUCAUGACGCCGCAUGAAUCAGAUCUUUGCGUACUUUGAGAAGAUCGCGAAUAGACUAAAUAAACUAACAUUCUCUUUUUUCUUUCUUUCUCUUUUUUCUACCUUAAUGACCAAUCCGAAGAGAAAGAAAAAUAAAGGAAGAAAAACUUUUUUUUUCUAGACUUAAUCUUCUAUAACCUAUUCUAAACUCAAGAUUAACGGAUUUUUUUUUCUUUUGAAACAAAUACUCUAUUAAGGAAAAAUCCUAGAAGAGAAAAAUAUUUUUUGACUUUUUUUUGUGAAGGAAAUCUAAAAAAUAAGCCAAAGAAAAACUAUUUUUAAUUUUAGUUUGAUAUCUUGAAAGAAAGAUUUCGAACCAAGAAAUAAAAAAGAUGAAAAUGUUUUUGGAUUUCAGUUUGACUACAUAUGGGAGAAACUCUGAAAAUAAACUCAGGAUAAAGUAUGUUAUUUUUUUUCUUCUAUGUACAAUGUCCUAAAGUUCUAGUAAAAUUAAAAAAGAAUUAUUUUUCAUUUUUCGUGAAUUUCUCAAAGAAGAACAUCAAAAGAAAAUAUAUUUUUUUUUGGAUUUUUGGAAUUAAUAUCUUAAAGAAAACUUUUAAAGAGGUACUAAAACUUUUUUUUUUUUUGAAUUUUUAGUCUUAAUAUACGAAAGGAAAUAUAAAAGCAAUUUAUUUUGAGUUCUAGAAAUUAAUUCAAUAAAGGAAAACCACCUCAAAUGAUUUUUAUUAUUCCUAGAAUUAGUAUUAUAAAAAAAACUUCUACCAGAAAUAUAAAAAUGUAACUUUUUUUUUUGGAUUUUUGAUUUAUAACACAUUUUCCAAAUACAAAGUAGAAAGUACAAUAACAAAAGACUCGACAUUACUGUACAAAACUAGAAAGUAAAAGAUGAUAUAAAAUGAAGAACAUACUCAAUAACACUAUGUGAGACAAUAACACUUCCUGUUAGACACAUGCAAGACAUGAUUGUGGCUGUUUUUCUAAAAUUAAUCAGUGUGGCUAAAGUGGCUAAAAAUGCAAGAUUUGGCUAAGACCCCGCAAAGCGAAGAACCUAAGAUUCACUAGGAAGACCGGACACUAUGUGGAUUGCCUAAGAAUUAGGUAUGCGUAGUUCGGGCAAAUUAGAUACGGGCAAGAAUUAAAAAACUAACUAAUUUAGAGAAAACAUAUUUUGCUUUGAAAAAUGAUGAAACAUAUAAACUCUUUUUGGAUUUUCUUUUCCUCUUUUUUUUGAUUUUUUGAUUUUCGAAAAAUGAUGAAAAAGUGCAAAAUCUUUUUGAAUUUUUCAUGUUUUUUUUUCCUUUUCUUUUAAAAAAUGUGAAAGAGAACAUAACUGGGCCCUACUUGCCUUAUUUUCAAACUUCACCCUCUCUUUUUUUUUCAUCUGCCCUCAACUAUCAUUGGUCCGCCAAAUGACCCUUUUACCCUUGAAGAAAUGCAACAUGUAGCACAUAUGAUGCAUCAGGAUGGUCUUUUAUUUUGGGGUACACUUGUCCUAGACGGACCCAACCUCUGUGUUGAGUCCCCAAAGUCAAAUGCAUAUGAUACAAACAAUAGUUCCUACUAGGGAUCUGGCAUGAGGCUGAGUUAUUCUGAGUUCAAAACCUGGGUAUGUUGUUCUAGAUUUGUGUACCCGAGCGGCCACAUCGAGCCGGGGGGGCUACGUACCGGGAACCAAAAUGCCAUCUGGCUUUGUAACUUGUCCGAGCCUCUUCCUAAUUUAAGGUAUGACACUAACAUAAGAGGAGUCACGCCAGUGUGCACAUCCCCGAAGAUGAGAAGAGAAGGGUUUCGUAGCAGUUUAUAUACAGUUCAGAUAAUAUAAAAGCGGUAAAAGCAACAUUUAGCACAUUAGGCCCAAACAUGUAAUUAAAACCAGAUAAUAAAUAAAAGCCAAAUAUAACAAUUAUUCUAAGCUCGAAUUCUUGAACCCUGAACUAGAGAUUAUGGGUUCUUGUCCCCAGCAGAGUCUCCAGAGAUGUCACACAUCCUUUUUCUACCACCGAAGGGGUAUAUAAGGGAGUUUGUCCAAUUUAAGUGACAAUCGAAACAGGAUUAUUUAUUUAGAAAUCAGAGUCACCAAUUGGGAUAAUUUAUGGUGUUCGAUGUCACCGGUUUAAAUCCCGAAUCGAGGAAAAGAUUGACUCUGUUUUACAGUCCGCAAACACAGAAAUUCGGGUAAGGAAUUCUGUUAACCCAGGAGAAGGUGUUAGGCAUUCGCGAGUUCCGUGGUUCUAGCACGGUCGCUCAACUGUUAUUAUUGGUCUAAUAAUCUGAUUUUAAAACACUUUUAAGCAUAUGUGUAUUUUUUAACUUUCUAACCGCUUUUAGUAUUUCAGGAAAAUUCAAGGUUAUUUAAAACACAUCGUAGGCCACUCUACAUGAAAUGCACCCGCGGUUCACGACACAUUCUAUUUAACCUUGUUGGAAAUUGGAAUCGGGUCACAUGAAAUGCACACUCAAAUUUUGUAAUUAAAAAUCACAGCUAUAUCAUGGGAACCAUACCCGUUGCUAUGACAAUUAUUUAAUUAACGCGCCUAAAGCAAACUACGAAAGUUCAAGGCAUUUUUUGUACUAGUUUUUGUAUUUAUGUGAGGGCCAUACAUUAUGGAUUUUGUUUGCAUAUGCACACCUCAAUUAUUUGUAAAAAAAAGAAUUAUUUCACUAAGGUAAACUAAAGAUACUCCUAUUUUAAUUUAAUUUAAAAUUAAAUAUCACCACCACGUCACGAGAAAUGUACCCGUAGUCACAAUGAUGAUUUAUUUUCAUGCCUAAAGGUUUGCCUACCCGGAUGUUGUGGCCUAAGUAUGUUCUUAGGACCAAUUAAGAGAAUAAAAGUAAUAAAUUUCAACUUUUUUUCAUUUAAUAACAAAGCUCGUGGCCACAUAUUAUUAAAAGUUUUUCUAAACCAAUACAACCCAUUCAAUUGAAGCGAAGCAUCCAAUCCUAGUAUACCAAACGAAAUGAAAUGAUUAUAAGAAAUCAAACCCCAGUUGACCCAGUGUAUUAAUUCAAAUGAAUUUCAUCCAAGCAAAUGUAUGGUUUCUGGAAAUUUCAACAGAGAGAUAGGAACAAAACUUAUUAAAAUUCAAUCCACUUUAAUCAUAGAAAUCCGCAUCGCCAUAAUCAAACCAACAAGGGAAAGCUAACUACUGUAGAUUAAUACACAUAAUGAUGAAGUAUGCAUUGAUUUCACAUUCUAACUUGAAUAAAGACGAGCAACAAAUCAUCGUGCUUAAGGUUUUCACAUAUCCUUUUCAUGCUAAAAUCAUAUCAAAAAUAGAAUAAUAGGGAAUCGACAAUGAACCUGGACUGAAAUUCUUCUUAGUAACAGUAGAGGAAUGAGCAUAUACAAUGUUUUUCUCCCAAAUUUAAACUGAGAACAACACAAUCAAGCAGAAACGCGAGCCACACCACGAACCUCAGACAAAAACUCGAAUCGGCAUCAAAACAAACUCAAUCGAACCCCGUCGAUUCCAUGGAAGAAAAGGGAGUGGCGAUGAGAGGGGGGCUGCUAUGGUGGUGGAAGAGCUCGACGACAGUGAGGCGCGACUGGGUUCUCUGAGGGGAUUGGUUUCCGACGAAGCAACGAUUGCUGGUGUGGGCUCCGCUGGAGAUGAGGAAAGGGGGGUCGUUUGGAGAAGACGAAGUCAGGGCGUGGGGUCAUUUAUGGCUGCGGCGGAUCUGUUUUUUCUCUUAGGUCUAGGUGUAUUUUU
RNAcentral lists this long non-coding RNA (30323 nucleotides) under Nicotiana tabacum (common tobacco). RNAcentral's name for it is "long non-coding RNA (NTAB_LNC007084)". The record is from RNAcentral. Lineage: Eukaryota; Viridiplantae; Streptophyta; Magnoliopsida; Solanales; Solanaceae.